GAUGAACGCUGGCGGCGUGCCUAAUACAUGCAAGUCGAGCGAACAGACGAGGAGCUUGCUCCUCUGACGUUAGCGGCGGACGGGUGAGUAACACGUGGAUAACCUACCUAUAAGACUGGGAUAACUUCGGGAAACCGGAGCUAAUACCGGAUAAUAUAUUGAACCGCAUGGUUCAAUAGUGAAAGACGGUUUUGCUGUCACUUAUAGAUGGAUCCGCGCCGCAUUAGCUGGUUGGUAAGGUAACGGCUUACCAAGGCGACGAUGCGUAGCCGACCUGAGAGGGUGAUAGGCCGCACGGGAACUGGGACACGGUCCAGACUCCUGCGGGAGGCAGCAGUAGGGAAUGUUCCGCAAUGGGCGAAAGCCUGACGGAGCAACGCCGCGUGAGUGAUGAAGGUCUUCGGAUCGUAAAACUCUGUUAUUAGGGAAGAACAAAUGUGUAAGUAACUAUGCACGUCGUGACGGUACCUAAUCAGAAAGCCACGGCUAACUACGUG
RNAcentral lists this ribosomal RNA (497 nucleotides) under uncultured bacterium. RNAcentral's name for it is "partial 16S ribosomal RNA". It matches the Rfam family "Bacterial small subunit ribosomal RNA", at positions 28 to 507 of the family's 1533-position model. The record is from RNAcentral.